GACGAACGCUGGCGGCGUGCUUAACACAUGCAAGUCGAACGGAAAGGCCCUGCUUUUGUGGUGUGCUCGAGUGGCGAACGGGUGCGUAACACGUGAGUAACCUGCCCUUCACUUUGGGAUAACUUCAGGUAACUGGGGCUAAUCCCGUAUAGGAGCUCCUGCUGCAUGGUGGGGGUUGGAAAGUUUCGGCGGUUGGGGAUGGACUCGCGGCUUAUCAGCUGGUUGGUUGGGUAGUGGCUUACCAAGGCUUUGACGGGUAGCCGACCUGAGAGGGGGACCGGCGUCAUUGGGACUGAGGUACGGCGCAGACUCCUACGGGGGGCAGUGGGGGGGAAUAUUGCACAAUGGGCGGAAGCCUGAUGCAGCAACGCCGCGGGCGGGAUGACGGCCUUCGGGUUGUAAACCGCUUUCGCCUGUGACGAAGCGUGAGUGACGGUAAUGGGUAAAGAAGCACCGGCUAACUACGUG
RNAcentral lists this ribosomal RNA (468 nucleotides) under uncultured bacterium. RNAcentral's name for it is "partial 16S ribosomal RNA". It matches the Rfam family "Bacterial small subunit ribosomal RNA", at positions 28 to 507 of the family's 1533-position model. The record is from RNAcentral.